AUGAAGGCCUUCGGGUUGUAAAGCACUUUUGGCAGGAAAGAAACGUCGCGGGUUAAUACCCCGCGGAACUGACGGUACCUGCAGAAUAAGCACCGGCUAACUACGUGCCAGCAGCCGCGGUAAUACGUAGGGUGCAAGCGUUAAUCGGAAUUACUGGGCGUAAAGCGUGCGCAGGCGGUUCGGAAAGAAAGAUGUGAAAUCCCAGAGCUUAACUUUGGAACUGCAUUUUUAACUACCGGGCUAGAGUGUGUCAGAGGGAGGUGGAAUUCCGCGUGUAGCAGUGAAAUGCGUAGAUAUGCGGAGGAACACCGAUGGCGAAGGCAGCCUCCUGGGAUAACACUGACGCUCAUGCACGAAAGCGUGGGGAGCAAACAGGAUUAGAUACCCUGGUAGUCCACGCCCUAAACGAUGUCAACUAGCUGUUGGGGCCUUCGGGCCUUGGUAGCGCAGCUAACGCGUGAAGUUGACCGCCUGGGGAGUACGGUCGCAAGAUUAAAACUCAAAG
Molecule: ribosomal RNA, 505 nt
Filed under: Achromobacter xylosoxidans
Lineage: Bacteria; Pseudomonadati; Pseudomonadota; Betaproteobacteria; Burkholderiales; Alcaligenaceae
Description: bacterial SSU rRNA
Rfam family: Bacterial small subunit ribosomal RNA
Source: RNAcentral